RNAcentral lists this ribosomal RNA (580 nucleotides) under Staphylococcus epidermidis. RNAcentral's name for it is "bacterial SSU rRNA". It matches the Rfam family "Bacterial small subunit ribosomal RNA", at positions 128 to 694 of the family's 1533-position model. The record is from RNAcentral. Lineage: Bacteria; Bacillati; Bacillota; Bacilli; Caryophanales; Staphylococcaceae.
ACCUAUAAGACUGGGAUAACUUCGGGAAACCGGCAGCUAAUACCGGAUAAUAUAUUGAACCGCAUGGUUCAAUAGUGAAAGACGGUUUUGCUGUCACUUAUAGAUGGAUCCGCGCCGCAUUAGCUAGUUGGUAAGGUAACGGCUUACCAAGGCAACGAUGCGUAGCCGACCUGAGAGGGUGAUCGGCCACACUGGAACUGAGACACGGUCCAGACUCCUACGGGAGGCAGCAGUAGGGAAUCUUCCGCAAUGGGCGAAAGCCUGACGGAGCAACGCCGCGUGAGUGAUGAAGGUCUUCGGAUCGUAAAACUCUGUUAUUAGGGAAGAACAAAUGUGUAAGUAACUAUGCACGUCUUGACGGUACCUAAUCAGAAAGCCACGGCUAACUACGUGCCAGCAGCCGCGGUAAUACGUAGGUGGCAAGCGUUAUCCGGAAUUAUUGGGCGUAAAGCGCGCGUAGGCGGUUUUUUAAGUCUGAUGUGAAAGCCCACGGCUCAACCGUGGAGGGUCAUUGGAAACUGGAAAACUUGAGUGCAGAAGAGGAAAGUGGAAUUCCAUGUGUAGCGGUGAAAUGCGCAGA